GCCUGAGUGGCUCAGUUGGUUAAGUGUCUGACUUCGGCUCAGGUCAUGAUCUCAUGGUCCGUGAGUUCGAGCCCCGCUUCGGGCU
Molecule: transfer RNA, 85 nt
Filed under: Felis catus (domestic cat)
Lineage: Eukaryota; Metazoa; Chordata; Mammalia; Carnivora; Felidae
Rfam family: tRNA
About the family: Transfer RNA (tRNA) molecules are approximately 80 nucleotides in length. Their secondary structure includes four short double-helical elements and three loops (D, anti-codon, and T loops).
Source: Rfam by way of RNAcentral